AGUGAACGCUGGCGGUAGGCCUAACACAUGGAAGUCGAACGGCAGCACAGUAAGAGCUUGCUCUUACGGGUGGCGAGUGGCGGACGGGUGAGGAAUACAUCGGAAUCUACUUUUUCGUGGGGGAUAACGUAGGGAAACUUACGCUAAUACCGCAUACGACCUACGGGUGAAAGCAGGGGAUCUUCGGACCUUGCGCGAUUGAAUGAGCCGAUGUCGGAUUAGCUAGUUGGCGGGGUAAAGGCCCACCAAGGCGACGAUCCGUAGCUGGUCUGAGAGGAUGAUCAGCCACACUGGAACUGAGACACGGUCCAGACUCCUACGGGAGGCAGCAGUGGGGAAUAUUGGACAAUGGGCGCAAGCCUGAUCCAGCCAUACCGCGUGGGUGAAGAAGGCCUUCGGGUUGUAAAGCCCUUUUGUUGGGAAAGAAAAGCAGCAGGUUAAUACCCCGCUGUUCUGACGGUACCCAAAGAAUAAGCACCGGCUAACUUCGUG
Molecule: ribosomal RNA, 492 nt
Filed under: uncultured bacterium
Lineage: Bacteria
Description: partial 16S ribosomal RNA
Rfam family: Bacterial small subunit ribosomal RNA
Source: RNAcentral